CCCUUUUUGGAAUGGAGACAGCAGAGAGCAGCUCGUCUGAGUUCAAGAGGGAAAGAUAUGGUGGCCAAGCAUGAGGUGCUCCACAAAGGCCGUGGGGGAUUUGAAGCACGAGAAGCCUGACCAGACUUGGAACUGAAGCACCUUAAGGACAAAAGAAAGACUUGCUGAGCUCGCUCACAGACCUUCUAGAGCAGCGCUGGGCUCAUGGAUCUGGAGAUUAUGGACAGAAGAUAAUGUAGAUGUUAUAACCAGGCCAGCGUCCUGUGGUAAAGGGUGUCUUUAGAUCACUGUUUCGUCGGUAUAGGUAAAUGACAUGAAGAACAUCUUUAUAGGCAGGGGAUGAGAAUCUGAGAUGAAGAAAAGAGGCUCCCCUGAUGGACCAUUCUAAGCUACUGUCAGAAGCAGGAUCCAUAGAACUUAAGGACAUGAUUGCAACAAUUAUCAGACAUUGGCCUCUUAGGUCAUGGUGAUCUUUUAGUAUUUUGGCUUUCUGCUGUCCUUUCAUAAAGGAACCUCAUUUUUAGCUUCUAUUGAAGAUAUAAAAUCAUCUCAUAGUAUUUUCUCAUUACUAGGAGCUGUAAAUCACUUCAAAGCUGUCUUUCUCCUUGAUCAUUUGCAUAUCAAAGUAUUUCUCUUGAGUACGGUGAUCUCUCCCCCUGUGGUUUGCUGUGUACCAGUUCUCUCUGGAUCCUAGGGCCUAGGGAAGUGUGGAUUCCAAGUGACUGGUGUUUUUCUACAGUAGAGCUUUUUUGUUGGCUCUUACCUGGGAGGACAAUGGGGAAGGGCCAGGGCCAUCCUGUUCUUUGCUGGGUGUGACCUUUCCUGCUCUGCUUCAGGGUUCCAUGCUGAAACCACCUUUAGCCAUCAUCGAGUGGGACUCCUUUUUACAUUUUGGUGAUUUCAAUAUUGUUUUUGUAUGGGUUUUGAGUUUCAGUCCUAAAUCUGUGUGGUGUGACAGAGGGAACCUCUACACAAAGGCCUGCCAAUCUGCAACCUCUUCAUGCUGCCACUGGUUAGAUCAACAGUUCACUCUAGACACUGAACCUUGCCUGCAUGCGUGCUAGUGUCACCACCAACAUCAGUAUCACUGUGCACCAGCAUCAGCAUCACUGUGCACCAGCAUCAGCAUCACUGUGUAUCAGCAUCAGCAUCACUGUGCACCAGCAUCAGCAUCACUGUGCACCAGCAUCAGCAUCACUGUGUAUCAGCAUCAGCAUCACUGUGCACCAGCAUCAGCAUCACUGUGUACCAGCAUCAGCAUCACUGUGCACCAGCAUCAGCAUCACUGUGUACCAGCAUCAGCAUCACUGUGUACCAGCAUCAGCAUCACUGUGUAUCAGCAUCAGCAUCACUGUGCACCAGCAUCAGCAUCACUGUGCACCAGCAUCAGCAUCACUGUGUAUCAGCAUCAGCAUCACUGUGCACCAGCAUCAGCAUCACUGUGCACCAGCAUCAGCAUGACUGUGUACCAGCAUCAGCAUCACUGUGCACCAGCAUCAGUAUCACUGUGUACCAGCAUCAGCAUCACUGUGCACCAGCAUCAGUAUCACUGUGCACAGCUCAAUCUCCAUACGUCAAUCGCCAGAUCGGUCCAAAAGUGUCUUGUCUGUGUGUAUUUUCUCCCACUUUACCACUCCACUCUGGCUUAAGCCUUCCCACCUGCUACUGUGUACUGUGUGGUUGCUGGCUUUGGGAACUCCCAAACUUUCCCUCUGUAUUUCAUGUUUCUGUUGGCCUGACAAGUAUCUCUUUCUAAAAAAGUACUAGUUUAUUUUAUGUGAAUGAAUGUUUUGUCUGUGUAGCUGGUAUGUGCUUGGUGCCCAUGAAUCCCAGAAGAGGGUAUUGGAUCCUCUGGAAGUGGAGUUAGUUACAGAUGCUUGUGAGCCUUCAUGUGGGUUCUGGGAAUUGAACCCAGGUCUUUUGGAUCCCAGUGAUUUUAAUGGUCGAGCUAUCUUUCCAGCUCCUUCAGGGCCUGAGAGAGGUCCUAGAACCCCUAAAUUCCCCAGUGACUCCCCUUUGUUAUUCUGAGAAGUUUCAGCUUCAACUUGCCAUUCUGGGAAACACAGGACCCUAUAAUCCACCUGCCUUCCGGGAUGAACACAUGGCUUCACCCCUGAAGGCAGUGCUUAAGGCACUGCAUGAUUCUCCACUUCCAAACGUGAUCUGUAUUUUCUGCCCACCUACCUCUUUGCUUAGUCAUUCACUGUAUUAUUCCCUAUUCUGUGCUGAGCACGAGUGUGCUCUCUCUCUCUGUCUCCUUUCUUUUUGCUUUUUUUUUCUCAUCUUUCUUUUUUUUUUGUCAGUUUUAUGUAUCUUUGAAAAUUUUAUUGAAUGUAACCUUUUUAAGAGUCUUGGAUGCAAUGUCCUUUCUUUGAGCCUUGAAAUCUGAAUCAUCUCUUUAGUGUAUUGUGGCAAAUGACGGUGUUUCUCUGUGUAUUCCUAGCUGUCCUGGAACUCUUUUUGUAGAUCAGGCUGGCCUCGAACUCACAGAGAUUUGCCUGCCUCUGCCUCUCAAGUGCUGGGAUCAACAGCAUGUGCUACCACUGUCCAGGUCUUGAUUUCUUGAUUUCUUGAUUUAAAAGAAUGAGUCUCUGCAUAAGGCUUGCCUAGGCCAUCAGCUACAAGCUUCACUGGACAGUGUACAGACAGCAUAGAGUUGGCUUCAUACUAGGGAUUGAGCAUCUAUUGGUGGAAUAAAUACAUCAAUAUGUGGAA
RNAcentral lists this long non-coding RNA (2715 nucleotides) under Mus musculus (house mouse). Its description in RNAcentral is "long non-coding RNA, embryonic stem cells expressed 1 (Lncenc1)". The record is from RNAcentral. Lineage: Eukaryota; Metazoa; Chordata; Mammalia; Rodentia; Muridae.